AGACCCGAAACCCGGUGAUCUAGCCAUGGGCAGGUUGAAGGUUGGGUAACACUAACUGGAGGACCGAACCGACUAAUGUUGAAAAAUUAGCGGAUGACCUGUGGCUGGGGGUGAAAGGCCAAUCAAACCGGGAGAUAGCUGGUUCUCCCCGAAAGCUAUUUAGGUAGCGCCUCGUGAAUUCAUCUCCGGGGGUAGAGCACUGUUUCGGCUAGGGGGCCAUCCCGGCUUACCAACCCGAUGCAAACUGCGAAUACCGGAGAAUGUUAUCACGGGAGACACACGGCGGGUGCUAACGUCCGUCGUGAAGAGGGAAACAACCCAGACCGCCAGCUAAGGUCCCAAAGUCAUGGUUAAGUGGGAAACGAUGUGGGAAGGCCCAGACAGCCAGGAUGUUGGCUUAGAAGCAGCCAUCAUUUAAAGAAAGCGUAAUAGCUCACUGGUCGAGUCGGCCUGCGCGGAAGAUGUAACGGGGCUAAACCAUGCACCGAAGCUGCGGCAGCGAACGUAUCACCCAAGACAACUUUACGGAGUUGACGAUUGACGGAGCGAAGCGACGUCAAAG
This 562-nucleotide ribosomal RNA is filed under the name Salmonella enterica. RNAcentral's name for it is "partial 23S ribosomal RNA". It matches the Rfam family "Bacterial large subunit ribosomal RNA", at positions 711 to 1252 of the family's 2925-position model. Lineage: Bacteria; Pseudomonadati; Pseudomonadota; Gammaproteobacteria; Enterobacterales; Enterobacteriaceae. The record is from RNAcentral. RNAcentral also lists the same sequence under 2 other names.